AUGAACGCUGGCGGCGUGCCUAAUACAUGCAAGUCGAGCGAACAGACGAGGAGCUUGCUCCUCUGACGUUAGCGGCGGACGGGUGAGUAACACGUGGAUAACCUACCUAUAAGACUGGGAUAACUUCGGGAAACCGGAGCUAAUACCGGAGAAUAUAUUGAACCGCAUGGUUCAAUAGUGAAAGACGGUUUUGCUGUCACUUAUAGAUGGAUCCGCGCCGCAUUAGCUAGUUGGUAAGGUAACGGCUUACCAAGGCAACGAUGCGUAGCCGACCUGAGAGGGUGAUCGGCCACGCUGGAGCUGAGACACGGUCCAGACUCCUACGGGAGGCAGCAGUAGGGAAUCUUCCGCAAUGGGCGAAAGCCUGACGGAGCAACGCCGCGUGAGUGAUGAAGGUCUUCGGAUCGUAAAACUCUGUUAUUAGGGAAGAACAAAUGUGUAAGUAACUAUGCACGUCUUGACGGUACCUAAUCAGAAAGCCACGGCUAACUACGU
Molecule: ribosomal RNA, 495 nt
Filed under: uncultured bacterium
Lineage: Bacteria
Description: partial 16S ribosomal RNA
Rfam family: Bacterial small subunit ribosomal RNA
Source: RNAcentral